CAUGAUCUGGAGACAUCGUCUCGAAGGUUCUUUAUUUUCCGUUCUUUUCCGCUUGGAUUCCAAGGAGGAAGGACUUAGUGAACUUCCUCAGCGCUUGGAGCCAAUAAGUCAGCCUUGUUGAAAUAAAAUAAUUUACCCAACGCUGAAAUAAGGCCGUUUGAACAACUUAUAAGAAGGGAAUUACAUUUCCUUGUGUAUGUGAACCGGAGGUUUGGAGCCUGCAUCCACCCAAGUUUACAUUAGAACCAAAACUUCGUCUUGGCUGGGUUUUUUGUUUCCUCCUUUCAUUCCUUUCAUUGGACGUGGAUGAAGAAUUCGAAACUGGAUAAAGACUCUGGAUAAAGACUUUUCCAACAGAUGAAGAUGGCGAGCUAAUGCCCGGAAACCAACUGAUUUGAAUUUAGACGGACUGUCUGGUUUGAAUUUUUGUUUAUUUUAUUGCAUAUACAGUGGUACCUCUACAUACGAAGUUAAUCCGUUCCAGGAGCUUGUUUGUAAGUCGAAAUGGUCGUAUGUCGAGCAGGAUUUUCCCAUAGGAAUACAUUAUAAUUCCAUUAAUUCGUUCCACAGCCCAAAAACCUGCACUAAAUCCUUAAAAAAUACUGCUGGUACUAUUACAAAUGGCAAUUACAUAUAGCAAAACAAAUAAAUAAUAAAUAAAAAUCGGAUUAAUAAUAUAAUAAUAAUAAUAAUUCCUGUAAUAGUGUAACGAAACGGGUUCUAAUAAGGCGGACGUUUUUUUCUGUACCUGAAGGCACCGCGGCGCUGACGUGACAAAGAGGGAGGGGAGCGGGUGAAAGUUUACUUUCGCUUUCAAUGCUUUCUUGAGAACAUCGUCAAUUGCGGCAGACAGCAGGCGUUUUGUGUUGAAUAAGUUGUGAAAGAAAUGAUGGAAACGUGGCGAAGCUGGCGAUUUCUCUGGAGAUGUUACCACAAUAAGAAAUGUCAGCUUAACUUAUAAAGACUGGGGAACGAUGGUCGGAGGAGGACCGUGGAGAUGUAUUGUUGAGCCAUUUCACCCCACGCUCAUAUUUUUCUGUCAUUUGCAUCUUCAUUUAGAAGGUAAGCGUAAACUUUUUCCUUGUUUCACCACCUGUACCAACCUUUUCUGAAACCUGUGUUGAUUUUUCACACAAGAAAAUCCGCCGUGCAUUCGUCUGCGGCGCUGCCAUUGUCGUCGUAUUUCGAGCAUGUCGUCGGAUGUAGAAACAAAUGGCGAGUCAAAUUUUACGUCGGAUGUCGAAAAGUUCGUGUGUCGAAGCGAUCGUAUGUAGACGUACCACUGUAUUUGUGUAUAUAUUGCCGGCUUAAAUUGUAAAUAGUUUUUGUAUUCAUAUAAUUAUUUUGUUACUCAUCUCGACUCCAGUUAUUUCAGUUACUAAACAUUAUUUUCCUUAUUGUAAUCUCCGAGAACCUAGUUCUCAGCCCAAAUACGAUUGCAUUCACAACAGAACCCCGUCAUCUCGAACCGAGGGUUACAUAGGCUUGCUUUUUUUCUUUUUCCCCCUUCAGGCAACAUAAAAUACAGCAGCUUCCUCUGUCGCACUUCAAGAUAAAAGCACUUCCUGUCAAAUCUCUAGCAGUAUAUUAACUGUUCAGGUAAUAUUCAGAAUAAUUUUAGCUGUGUAUUUAUUACUUUUCAAUGUAAAUAACCUACAUAGAAACGUUUUAUAUUUUAACUAUUUCUUUUAGCUAGUUUUAAACUUAACACUCACUAUGAAUUCAAAUAUGCAUUUUAACCAAACAUUUCACAACAAAUACCAAGCUUUACAAUUCCAAGAACCCCCUUCCUAUCUUUGGAUCGGUAUUUUCCAGAGGGAAUCUGGAGGAACUGCCUCCCUGCGCCACCCCGCUUUUUGAUUGACGACAGAAAAAAUUCUAUUACAGCUUGUCACAUGUCCCGGGGGAGGACUCUGAGUUGGGAAGAGGGGGAAAAAAAUGUUGAAAGAUAAAUAUAGAACAAGGCGUAUUUUGAUAAAGUGUGCGAGGUGAGGGGACAGAUGAUAAAAAGGUAAUGGUUGCAAAAUAUCAGCUUUGCAAUGAAUCACUGUCAUAACAAGGUGGAAUAGUGGCGCUGGGGGACCGUUUCAACCUACUCGUUGACGAUGUGUCUGUCAUUCAAAUGUAAAAAUUCCAUAAUUACUGCACGUACAGUUAAUCUGACAUUGUAAGAUGCUUUUUGAUUAAAUUAAAAGAGACCUGUGUGGCGCUAAAAAUGGAACAUUUUGCUACAAAAGUGAUAGCGUAGGUAACUUAACCCGUUCCUUUAAACAUAUCAAAGUGAUAUUCAUGUUAAGCAAUUGUUAUUUCAACACGGCAGAGUGGACAUGUUAAAUUUAAAUUGCUGCCAGCCCAAGGAAUAUGCUGUGGUAUAGUUGAGCUCUGUAUUAAAAACAACUAUCAACGGCAAAAGCAGUAAAUAUUCUUUUUAUAGUUUUUAGACAUUUUUAAUUCAUGUUUAUUUACUCAGAUGUGUUGUUUAAUUCUCUGAUUUAUGUACUCCUCAAUCUCUCAUCAAGGAAUACAGAAAUUUUAUCUCAAUGAAAAACCGAUAAAAAAAAAAAAAAAUUCUUCUGUUCCCCAUUGCCCCUUCCUGUUAGCUGUUUUGUCUUAAUAAACGAGGUAUGUUAAAUGAUCACAAUGGGAGUAUGUCAUACUCCAAUGUGAAACAUUAAAACUGUUCAGACCAACUGGACACUUAGACUUCCAUUCUCUGUGUCAAACAGAUGAACAGGACAGGUUUAAAAAACAAAAAAAUUCGUUGCACAUGAUUUAAAUUUUGCAGGCCACGCAAAAUGAUGUGGUGAGCAGAACCCGGCCCCCGGGCCACGAGUUGAGUACCCAUACUUUAGCUUGUGAUUCUCUCCUUUCGCUUUGCCGUCAUAUUGGGUGGAGAAGAGGCAGAAAGUCGUGAGAUGAGAUGAAAAGACGAGGUACAAGCAGAGAAAAGUACUGAGGAACUUUAUAAACAUGAAGUUUAAAAAGAGAGAACUCAGGUUCAGCAGAAGGUUAACAUUCCACCUAGCAGAUGUCUUCCGCCAUAAAAAAGUAGGAAUAUAUAGCUUCUGCAUCCUUCAAAAUGAUGGCCUGUGCAACAGGCGGCGCCAAGGUCUUUUUGGAAUCCUUCUUUAUUAUGACUUCCUACGAAUGCUAACCAUUUUACGAGGGGAAAAAAAUCCAGAAACCCGUCAUUUUAGUUUUACACAUGGUCCUGGCAUCAAAAUUGACAAUUUUGUGGUUUUACUAUAAAAAAAAACAGCGGCUUGUUCAUCACUGUUGGCAGCUUCGAUUUAGUCAAGCGAUAUGCAGAAAACAAAUAUUUAAUUCACUUAUGAGUCAUUAAACAAGGUUUGUUUUUGCUACCGUAUUUACUCAACUACAUUAUGUAUGGACGUAUAUUGACAUUGAUAAAAAAAAUGUUUUUUUAAAUCCACUCUGAGCAGGAAUAUUAUUGAUAUGUAUCAGAUGGAUGACCUUUUCAUUCAAAUUGGAGGAGAGGAACAGGUUUUAUAAGGAGCAGAAAAAAAUCAUUCAUUAAAAAACUUGUAAAUAUAAGCCAUUUUUAUUGUAUUAUUGUUAUUAGGGUUGUUCCGAUCAUGUUUUUUUGCUUCCGAUCCCGAUUGUUUUAGUUUGAGUAUCUGCCGAUCCCGAUAUUUCCCGAUCCGAUUGCUUUUUUUGCUCCCGAUUCAAUUCCAAUCAUUCCCGAUAAUUUUUCCCGAUCAUAUACAUUUUGGCAUUGCAUUAAGAAAAAAAAUGAAUAAAACUCGGGACGAAUAUAAGUACUGUAUUUGUUUAUUAUGACAAUAAAUCCUCAAGAUGGCAUUUACAUUAUUAACAUUCUUUCUGUGAGAGGGAUCCACGGAUAGAAAGACUUGUGACUUUGUAUAUUGUGACUAAAUAUUGCCAUAUGGUGUAUUUGUUGAGCUUUUAGUAAAUGACACUGGAGCCAUGCCCAAAUGCAUGAUGGGAAGUGGAACCAUGACUGUGCGUAGUGCUACCAAUUGAUAUAUCUUCUCUGCGUUGGGAAAUAACAUAAGGUGUUAAGAAAAAGAUCAAUUCCUCCCUUGCUUCCCCACAUUGCUUCCCAUUAUAUUUCAAAUCGUAGGGAGAGCGAUUGUAAGGCUUUAUCCAUUUAAAAAAAGGCUCCAAAGGCUGCCAAAAUUCACUCUACUCAUUUUACGCUGCCUUUUAUCUCUCUAUAUAGGUAAAACGGCACCAUUACAGAUUGAGCGCGACAAUGCGUGAGUGGGUCGUGCAGUUAGUGCAUGCAUUAAUUGCGUUAAAUAUUUUAACGUGAUACAUUUUUUAAAAAAUUAAUUACCGCCGUUAUUGGGAUAAAUUUGAUAACCCUACCUUAAGCCUAAACUAAAGACUAUGGAUGAGUGUAACAUAUUAUGUCUGUAACGUUAAAUUCAAUUAGAAAACUAUUUAGUUAAAAAAAAAAAAAAAAAAUUUAAAAGGCAUGGCCGAUAUUUUUUUGCCGAUUCCGAUACUUUGAAAAUGACUUGAUCGGACCCGAUCGAUUGGGACAUCUCUAAUUGUUAUCAUUUGAAUUAUUAUAAUAAUAAUAAACUAUUCAAAGAGCGCUUUUACCAAUGCUCAAAGACACUUUACAGUAGAAACAAAAACAGCAAACAAUGUGAACAAAACAAUAAAGAAAAAAAUAAUUAUAAGUUAAAAGCUAGUUUAAAAAGGUGAGUUUUUAACAGUUUUUUGAAUGUGUGAAGGUCUGAACAGGUACGGAUGGGUUUAGGGAGUGAGUUCCAAAGGGAGGGGGCAGCUACGGAGAAGGCUCUGUCCCCCCAAGUUCGGUGUGUUCUUUGUUGGGGCGGUGCGAGGAUGUUUCCAUUAGAAGAGCGGAAGUGACGGGAAGGUGUGUGUGGACAGAGAAGGUCUGUGAGGUAGGGAGGGGCCAAGUUAUUGAGUGGUUUAUAAGUGAGAAGGAUGAUUUUGAACUGUAUCCUGUAUGAAAUAGGAACCCAGUGCAGUUUGUGGAGGACGGUGGUAAUGUGGUUCCUAUAGGGGUGAGAAGGCGUGCAGCGGAGUUUUGGAUAUAUUGUAGUUUAUUGAUGCGUUCGGAUGGAGAACCAAAAAGAAUGCUAUUACAGUAGUCAAGUCUGGAGGUGAUGAAGGCAUGGAUGAGGGUUUCAGCAGCGGAGAAAGUGAGGGAGGGGCGAAGACGGGCAAUGUUCUUGAGGUGGAAGAAGGCAGUUCUGGUGAUGUGGUUGACGUGCUGGUCGAAUCUGAGUUUAUUGUCGAAAAUGAUAUCUUGUGUGUCGAAAGAGGCAGGGUGCAGUUGUUGCUGGUGAGGGAAAAUUGACAGUCUCUGAUGUGAGCUGCAGGGUCGAUGAUGAUUAUGUCCGAUUUGUUACUGUUGAGUUGAAGAUAGUUUGCUUGCAUCCAGGAUUUGUGAAGAGUGGAUUCGGUGCUGUGCAAGAUUUGUUUUGUGGAGAUGUAAAUUUGGAUGUCGUCAGCGUAUCAGUGAAAUUGGAGUCCAUAUUUCCGGAUUAUCUGACCAAGGGGGAGGAUGUAAAGAAUGAAGAGGAGGGGACCAAGAACUGAACCUUGGUGGACACCUCGUGGUAGGGGAACAGGAGGGGGUUGUGCAGUGAUUGAUGGUGAUGAAUCGUUGUCGGUCGGUGAGUUAGGAGCGGAACCAGGAAAGUGCAGUACCAGUGGUGUGUACAGAUUCUAAUCGGGAGAGCAGGAUGGUAUGGUUGAUUGUAUCGAAAGUGGCAGUGAGGUCCAGGAGGAUGAGGAUGUUGAGUUGUCCAGAGUCUGAGGAGAGGAGAAUAUGGUUAUUUUGAGAAGGGCUGUUUCGGUGCUGUGCUGUGACCGGAGGCCAGAUUGAAAAAGUUCAAACAGGUUAUUGUUGGUGAGGUGGGUUCUUAGUUGUGAGGCGAUGGCUCUUUCCAGAAUUUUAGACAGAAAAGGGAGAUUGGAGAUGGGGCGGUAAUUGCGUAUAUCGGUGUCUAGACCAGAUUUCUUUAUGAUGGGAGUGAUGGCUAAAUUAAAGAAAUGAAAAUGAAUAAAAACAAAAAAACACUCGAGUUACGGCCCCAAGUAACACUACAGUAGUUUUUCCCCCCAGAGUAUUUAAUGCCAUUGAUGGCAAUAGAAAUCCAGUUCAUUAAAACUGUGAGGACUUGCUAAUCUUUCAGCGCCAUUGGCAGCGCUAGACGUCCAGUCCAUAAUGACUGAGAGGGGGCAAAUGAAUUAAUGCAUAGACUUCAUAAUGAUAUUGACUGGUCAGAUUCCACCUUCAUUGCGGCACGCCUUCAAGUAGGGGGCCAUCUCUAAUCCGCUUCAGUUAUUCGCAGUCGGUCGUAGUGACACAUGCAGCGAUCAAACACCGGAUUUAGGUUGAAAAAGUACAAAAGCUGUACCGCAUUCAAACAGGAAGGAUUGUCUCAGGAGUGAUUUGUUCAAGGUUUCAAGGUAAUUAUUAUAUUUUUCGUUUUUCCACAACUAUUUUCAACGUAAAAAGCUCUUUGUUGUAAGGCGGCAGCCACAUUGUCUAACAGACUCGCAUCAUUCUUCGACGUAUUUACGUAAAAUAAAUGCUAACUGCCCGUUUUUUGCUCUUUUAACUAAGAAUCGAGACUGUUUUUCAUUCAUAUCCAUGAAGAAUUCAGGGCUUUAAGCAUUUAUUCACAAGAAUUUUCACCGGAAAAGCUCUGUUAACAUAAGGUGGCCACCGCAUAGACUAACAGACUAGCAUCAUACUUUGACACAUUUACGUUAAAUAAAUGCCAACUCCACGUUUUUUUGUUUUUGUUUUGUUUUUAACCAAGAAUCGAGACUAUUCUACGUCCAUAUCUAUAAAGAAUUCAGGGAUUUAAGCAUUUAUUCACAAGAAUUUUCGUCGGUGAUUCCACUCGGUCAGCUUUGACGGCCACGCCAACAAUGCAGGCCCCCUAUUAAUCGGCCCUGCGUGUCCUGUCAAUACCAUUCUGAAGUCUAUGAUUAAUGUUCAUUCGCCCCUCCCAGUCAAAAUGGAUUGUCCGUCUAGCGCCGUCAACAGCAACUAAUGAGUUAAAUUAGUCCCCUAUAAGAAUUCAAUUGCAAUUUUUGACCUAAGAACACAUUUAAGCUAACGUUUCGUCUCAAUAUCAUAAUGCAUACAUCACCCUCCUUUAAUCCCACGUAAUAGCCACCAAAAAUAAAUAAAUAAAAAUCAAGAUAAACUGUUCGAUGCGUAUACAUCCCUAGAAUCUAGUGACCAAAUUGCAUUCCUAUACAUCCACGGGUAACACAGGAGUAGCUAUACCCAGAUUGGGAAAUAUAACUGGAGCAGACAUGGGCCAGAUGUACUGCAAAUUUCUGCCCAACUUUGUAAAACGGAUUUGCCCCAGUAUCUUUUUGAACAACGGCCCAAACUCAGUAAGGAGUCACUUGCCAGAUCAGCAACCAGUUUUGGGCCAGAACUGGUCCAAAGUAGCUGACACGACAUUAAUGUAUGGCCCGGAUAUGGCACAUAUGUUAGCCAAUCUGGGCCAGAUUUGUAUCAAAACCGUUUUCAGUAUUAAAUUUGGAGUCCAUUUUGUUCAAAGUACCAUCCUGGAAUGUGUUUAUUUUGCAAAUUAAAUGUGUCUAUUAAAAGCUACCAUAUUAAUACAACAUACAACAACAUAACAAUACAACAGUUUUUUCACAAAAUAUUUUAAUUGGAACAAGCAACUCCACAUUAAAGAUGACCCAUUUUUAGACUGUAUACAACAUAUUGUAUUUAAGGUUCUGGUGUCACGGGGGACCUAUUUCAUUGACGAUAAGGGAAUGGUAGAUGGUGUCCGAAGAAUCCAGUGGGCAGUUUGGUGAUAGAACAGGUUAGUUCAGGAUUACUUCAAGCAGUACAGGAUCUAGGGGUGAAAAACACAAAAAUGAGCUCAGUAUUUAGAUUACAAGAUUCUUUGUUAGCUGAAAGUCACAUACCUGCAGGUGACUUGUUGAUCUGGCGAUGAUGUGAGGCCAAGGACCGGUUUAAGCUGCUGACGAUGAUCAGCAGCACCUGGACCCAGGCUCACCCAUCUGUGCAAUCAAGGCGACAAUUAAGGCAAAACUGUCAUAGUGCUGAUUCGGGCUGCAUCUGGCGCACUGACGUUAAGCGGGAGUUUGAGUGCGUCCGGUCUGCACGGUCUGUCCCGAAACAGUGCUUAACCUAUCAUUUGGACUGUUAGACCCCACUCACCAACGUCACACAAUGACGUGUCGCUGUAUCCGGCCACCAUAUUGUCCGUCAUUGUUUAUCCGUAUUCUCAAUGGUUUCAAUUUGUCAUGCAAUUUAUAUUCCAAUUCAUGGAAGCCCCGAUGCUUUCAGACGCUGUAAACUCAUUGGAUGCGUUGCAUAAAAGGCGUUAUGUGGAAAAGCUUCAGUCUAUCCAUUUGCCAGAUCCAUAUUUGAUGCCUAAAUUGAUAUUUUUCGACCCGCUGUCUUCGCCGUCUCUGCCUGACAUCUGCUACCCUGAUAUCUACAACUAUCUUGUCCACACAAAAUCAGCCUAUUCUCAUGGAAGUUUGAAAAACUAAGAGCAGCACUCUAAGCAACAUUACCCCUUGUGACCCUUCCAAUUUUCUAAAAUGGCGACAGUCAAUAAAAAAAAAAAGCUGACUGCGACGCUUCAAGGAUAGGUGGAUAUUGGACUAUUUCUUCAAUAAAAUACGCAACUGUGUCUGCCUCAUUUGCAAAGAGACAGUCGCUGUUUUCAAAGAGUUCGAUGUGAGGCGAUAUUACCAAACAAGACACGCUGACAUGUACGACAAGAUGGAAGAUAUGCAACGAGAAAUUAAAGCAACUUGAAGCUAAUUUAAUUUCACAGCAGCAGUAUUUCGCAAGUGCCUGAGGGUCGAAAGAGAACGCCACAAAGGCGAGAUUGUUGAAAUUAUGAAUAAAAAAAAAAAUAAAUAAAUAAAGCAAAUGUGACACACAGAAGGGCUUGCUAAAAUUUCUUUAAAUGUAUUGUUCUACGUAAAUCAGCCCAGGUAGCCCCCCACAUUUUUACCACACCAAAUCUGGCCCCCUUUGCAAAAAGUUUGGACACCCCUGUUUAGCUGAUGAUCCGUAGAUGAGGCCAGCUUCUUUCACUUGUUACCAACUAAAUAUUAUUCAAUAAAAUAAUGGUGAAAGAAAUAAACAUCUUGAAUUUGAAAUUGUAUGUUUGCGGCGAUUAGCCUCGCAAUGAUCUUAAUUGUGGUUGUCAGCCCAAAACCCUCUAAAUAUAUAUUAAAUGCAUCUUACCAGAUAUAAAAAGACUACUACAUAAUCUGUGGUGAUCGUUUGGUGCCCAGUUUUCUCGUCGAAUUGCAGCAGUCCAUCUCGCUCUCCUCUCCGGGUCUCUCGGAAUACGGUAGAACUUCAAGUCUCUCCGUCUAUCUUCUCUGUUACUGCAACCAACCGCCACACACGCCUUCACCAUUUUGAUUAUUAAUGUUAACGAGCAGAAAAACACCCCAUAAUGGGAGGAAUUUACGUAGCGGUAAUGCGUAAACACGACGAACUGACGGACAAUAUGGCGCGGAGGCGUGGUUGUGACGUCAUGUGAGUGGGGUCUGUAGUGUUGAUCCAGGCCGCAUCUGGCGCACCAACAGUAAGCUGGUGUGAUUGCUAUACGAAUCUGGCCAGCUGAGGCCGGAUCCGGCACGCAGUAAUCUGCUAUUGGGGUAAAUAUUGUCUUCAACCAUAACGACUAGAAAAUGCAAUUUCUGGAGAAAUUGUGCAGGGAUGCUUUGCUCUCCCUCCCAUGGUUCACUUCCUGUAGAUUUUGGGGCAUUUUUGAGUUUUUGCAGUUUUUUUGCCUUAUAGUGCAGUUUUUGUGUUUUCUGUGGGGGGGUUGUAUUUUUUUUAAAGUUUUUCAUGGUUUUCAAUGUUUAUUGAUUCAUUCAUUUUAGGACACUUCUGGGUCACUUUCUCAUUAUUGGUCACUUCGACUAGUGUUUGGAUUUUUUUCAGGGUAAUUAACUGAAGAUGUUUAUGUCAAACUUUGCUAGAAGCAUACAUUUUACAAAAAAAAAUGUACCGUAAGUAACAACAAUUGUGUGCCUUGAUUUACUGAAUUUUUAUGUGUACAUUAUGAAAAUUGCAAUGGAAUUUGCAAUGGAAAUUGCAUUAAAAAAAAACGUAGGACUAAGAUACAUUUAGAUUUUUUUUUUUUUUGCCAUUGUGAAAUAGAGGUUGGUUUUUUUUUUAAUUGAAAAUUCGCUUGAUUGUGGCAAGCGUAAACAUGAUGAGCAAAAUCAAAAUAGAGCCUGCUCCGUGUGAAUUUCUGGAAAAUUUGUAAGUCAGAACGGUGUCAAUAGGUCAAAGGUUGUGGGCUGUGCGGUGCGCUGAAAAUGGGGACGGGGAAAAAAAUAUUAGAUUUGAAGAGCUUUGCUUUGCAAAGCAUCCCCACAUCAAAGUUUUGUGACACAUACAGGCGGAAGACAGGAAGAGAAGAACUGAUUGGUCACGUUAGGCGAGAAAAGAGAAAACGAAGGGUGGAAUAAGUAAAAAAAAAAGACUCAGGACAUUUAGUGCAUUGAGUUUUUACACAUCUCAUGACUACAGUAAUAGUGAAAGUCCAGAAAAAAAAUCCCAAAUUACAGUGCUUUAUUUUUCAAUCCAUUAAUCAGUUUUUCCCUAACUUUGCAUUUGGAGGAAGGCGACUAAACAGACUUCGGUGCAAAUCUGGCGAGCGAGACGAGCAGAAGGUAGAGUAGAAAGUUGGAAGCCAUCAUGUGAGAAUGGGGGCAACAUCGACGACGUGCAAGCAGACGGGAUGCUGCGCAGGGAGGAAAGGGGAGGAGUUGGGGGGGACAUAGUUCCGCCUGUUGAGGUCUCUACACGAAGGAUAGUGUGUAUCUGUGCGUGUUUGUGCUGCUAUUGAUGCACGGUAUCUUGUUUGGAUGCGACACCUGUUGUGUUUGGGUUGGUUUGUUUAUCUUUGUGUGUGCGUGUUUGGUGCAUCCCUGCAGUGUAGCUUUUUUUUUUCCAGAGCAGAUGCCUGUAGCACCUCCUCUAAAAUCAAAGGAAGGCAUACGGUAGGGAUGCUAUUCAUUAUUAUGUCGUGUCAAUGAAAGCCUUUCAAUAGUAUAUGAGAGUUUAUUUAGAUUAUCUCUCACAGUGGACAGGCACCUACCAUGAACAUUUCAAACCCACCCAUCAUUUUUAAGUGGAAGGAGAACUUGCAAAAUCGCAGGGUGUUCAAAUACUUAUUUUCCUCACCGUAUACUGCCGGGUACGGUACUUAAAUUUGUCUUUUCAAUUUCUAUGCUUGAAUUACGUAUUACUUGUCGUAACCUCUAGUCUAAUCACCCAUGAGUUAACACAAAGCACACAAAUGUCUCUGAGUGCUCCGUCCACACCCUAAAAGUCUGAAUUUGCCAGCAUUCACAGCAGAGUCAAUAAAGUUCCUCCUUGGAGGUUUGCUCAGGCGGAACGGCUGGCAUUCAGACAUAUGACUGCGCCGCUUCAAGAGUCUGGGAGGAAGAUUGGUGUUUCACAAUAAGCAGCGUGCUGCUGCUUUUUCUUUGACUCAGAGAUCAGGAGAAAGGCAAGGAGCUUGUAUUCCGAUUCCCAUAUAUUAUAAUCUUAACAGAGGGACAUAUUUAACUCAUUUGGCUGCCAUUGAUGGCACAUGAUGUCCAAUCCAUUUAGACUGAGGGGCAGGCAGGUCAGCCCCUCCGGUAAACUAGAGCUGCUAUAUUUCAUUCACUAAUCGAUUACCAAAUCAAUCGUCAUCUAUUUUGAUGGUCAAAAAACCGUUGAGAGAUAUUGUUGACCUCAUAACUGUCCAAAUCCUUUAUUCAAAUACCUUUUAAGCCUUUUAAUAACACCCAAUUUUUA
Long non-coding RNA from Corythoichthys intestinalis (scribbled pipefish), 11818 nucleotides. RefSeq lists it as uncharacterized. The record is from RefSeq and is a predicted model, not a curated record. The transcript is spliced from 3 exons. Lineage: Eukaryota; Metazoa; Chordata; Actinopteri; Syngnathiformes; Syngnathidae.